CGAAAGGGCACUCUAAUGGGACUGCCGGUGACAAACCGGAGGAAGGUGGGGAUGACGUCAAGUCCUCAUGGCCCUUAUAGGUGGGGCUACACACGUCAUACAAUGGCCGGUACAGAGGGUAGCCAACCCGCGAGGGGGAGCCAAUCCCACAAAGCCGGUCGUAGUCCGGAUCGCAGUCUGCAACUCGACUGCGUGAAGUCGGAAUCGCUAGUAAUCGCGGAUCAGCAUGUCGCGGUGAAUACCGUUCCGGGUCUU
Molecule: ribosomal RNA, 255 nt
Filed under: uncultured Allobrachymonas sp.
Lineage: Bacteria; Pseudomonadati; Pseudomonadota; Betaproteobacteria; Burkholderiales; Comamonadaceae
Description: uncultured Brachymonas sp. partial 16S ribosomal RNA
Rfam family: Bacterial small subunit ribosomal RNA
Source: RNAcentral